AUGGGAUCGGACGGCCGGGCGAGGCGUAUAAAUCCAUCCAGGUCACCCCUGCCCCCAAACCCCUCACCAACCACCCCCGGCCGCAGCAGCAGCAGAGAGCCAGCCGCCCUUCGCUCCCCCCAGAGGCCAGAGACGGACACGAUGGCGGCGCCCACCUCCUCCGCGGCAUCCACCCUCGCCCCCUUCUCCCACCCCAAAACCCUAGCCGCCGCCGCCGCCGCCGCAUCCUCCUCCGUCGCCUUCUCCCCGGCCGCAUCCCACCCCGCAUGCGCCCUAACCCGCCGCCGCGCGGUCGCCGCCAUGGUCGCGGCCCCGGCCAAGGUCGGCGCCGCCAUGCCGUCGCUCGACUUCGACACCGCCGUCUUCAACAAGGAGAAGGUCUCCCUCGCCGGCCACGAGGAGUACAUCGUGAGGGGCGGGCGGAACCUCUUCCCGCUGCUCCCGGAGGCGUUCAAGGGCGUCAAGCAGAUCGGCGUCAUCGGAUGGGGCUCCCAGGGUCCGGCGCAGGCCCAGAACCUGAGGGAUUCCCUGGUGGAAGCCAAGUCUGACAUCGUCGUCAAGAUUGGCCUCAGGAAAGGUUCCAAGUCUUUUGAGGAAGCACGUGGUGCUGGAUUCACCGAGGAGAACGGAACCUUGGGAGACAUAUGGGAGACGGUCUCUGGCAGUGAUCUUGUGCUGCUGUUGAUUUCAGAUUCUGCCCAGGCAGACAACUAUGAGAAGAUCUUCUCUCACAUGAAACCAAACAGCAUUCUUGGUUUAUCUCAUGGGUUUCUCCUUGGUCAUCUGCAAUCACAUGGCCUUGAUUUCCCCAAAAACAUCAGCGUCGUUGCUGUGUGUCCCAAGGGGAUGGGCCCGUCGGUUCGGAGACUGUAUGUUCAGGGCAAGGAAGUAAAUGGUGCUGGCAUCAACGCUAGCUUUGCUGUCCACCAGGAUGUUGAUGGAAGGGCCACUGAUGUUGCUCUUGGAUGGUCGGUUGCACUAGGAUCCCCAUUCACCUUUGCUACUACUCUAGAACAGGAGUACAAGAGUGAUAUCUUUGGGGAGCGAGGAAUUUUGCUGGGCGCUGUCCAUGGCAUUGUGGAGGCUCUCUUUAGGAGAUACACAGAGCAAGGAAUGGACGAGGAGCUGGCAUACAAAAGCACCGUGGAGGGCAUCACUGGAAUUAUCUCUAAGACCAUCUCAAAGAAGGGGAUGCUUGAGGUGUACAACUCUUUGAGUGAGGAAGGCAAAAAGGAGUUCAACAAGGCAUACAGUGCAUCAUUCUACCCUUGCAUAGACAUACUCUACGAAUGCUACGAAGAUGUUGCCUCUGGAAGUGAAAUCCGGAGUGUUGUGUUGGCUGGUCGGAGGUUUUAUGACAAGGAAGGCCUUCCUGCUUUCCCUAUGGGCAAAAUCGACCAAACUCGCAUGUGGAAGGUCGGCGAAAAGGUGCGCUCGACCCGGCCAGAUGGUGACCUUGGCCCGCUCCACCCCUUCACGGCUGGAGUUUAUGUUGCACUUAUGAUGGCCCAGAUCGAGGUGCUGAGGAAGAAGGGGCACUCCUACUCUGAGAUCAUCAACGAGAGCGUGAUCGAGUCGGUGGACUCGUUGAACCCCUUCAUGCACGCGCGCGGGGUGGCCUUCAUGGUGGACAACUGCUCGACGACGGCGCGUCUGGGGUCGAGGAAGUGGGCGCCCCGUUUCGACUACAUCCUGACCCAGCAGGCGUUCGUGACGGUGGACAAGGACGAGCCCAUCAACCAGGACCUCAUCAGCAACUUCAUGUCGGACCCCGUCCACGGCGCCAUCGAGGUCUGCGCCGAGCUGAGGCCCACCGUCGACAUCUCGGUGACGGCCGACGCCGACUUCGUGCGCCCUGAGCUCCGGCAGUCCUCCUAG
This 1878-nucleotide ribosomal RNA is filed under the name Triticum aestivum (bread wheat). RNAcentral describes it as "partial small subunit ribosomal RNA". The record is from RNAcentral. Lineage: Eukaryota; Viridiplantae; Streptophyta; Magnoliopsida; Poales; Poaceae.